GAGUUUGAUCAUGGCUCAGAGCGAACGCUGGCGGCAGACUUAACACAUGCAAGUCGAACGGGCGUAGCAAUACGUCAGUGGCAGACGGGUGAGUAACGCGUGGGAACGUACCCUUUGGUUCGGAACAACUGAGGGAAACUUCAGCUAAUACCGGAUAAGCCCUUACGGGGAAAGAUUUAUCGCCGAAAGAUCGGCCCGCGUCUGAUUAGCUAGUUGGUGAGGUAAGAGCUCACCAAGGCGACGAUCAGUAGCUGGUCUGAGAGGAUGAUCAGCCACAUUGGGACUGAGACACGGCCCAAACUCCUACGGGAGGCAGCAGUGGGGAAUAUUGGACAAUGGGCGCAAGCCUGAUCCAGCCAUGCCGCGUGAGUGAUGAAGGCCCUAGGGUUGUAAAGCUCUUUUGUGCGGGAAGAUAAUGACGGUACCGCAAGAAUAAGCCCCGGCUAACUUCGUGCCAGCAGCCGCGGUAAUACGAAGGGGGCUAGCGUUGCUCGGAAUCACUGGGUGUAAAGGGUGCGUAGGCGGGUCUUUAAGUCAGGGGUGAAAUCCUGGAGCUCAACUCCAGAACUGCCUUUGACACUGAGGAUCUUGAGUUCGGGAGAGGUGAGUGGGACUGCGAGUGUAGAGGUGAAAUUCGUAGAUAUUCGCAAGAACACCAGUGGCGAAGGCGGCUCACUGGCCCGAUACUGACGCUGAGGCACGAAAGCGUGGGGAGCAAACAGGAUUAGAUACCCUGGUAGUCCACGCCGUAAACGAUGAAUGCCAGCCGUUGGGGAGGUUACUCUUCAGUGGCGCAGCUAACGCUUUAAGCAUUCCGCCUGGGGAGUACGGUCGCAAGAUUAAAACUCAAAGGAAUUGACGGGGGCCCGCACAAGCGGUGGAGCAUGUGGUUUAAUUCGACGCAACGCGCAGGACCUUACCAGCCCUUGACAUGUCUAUGACCGGUACCAGAGAUGGAACCUUCCCUUCGGGGCAUAGAGCACAGGUGCUGCAUGGCUGUCGUCAGCUCGUGUCGUGGGAUGUUGGGUUAAGUCCCGCAACGAGCGCAACCCCCGUCCUUAGUUGCUACCAUUUAGUUGAGCACUCUAAGGAGACUGCCGGUGAUAAGCCGCGAGGAAGGUGGGGAUGACGUCAAGUCCUCAUGGCCCUUACGGGCUGGGCUACACACGUGCUACAAUGGCGGUGACAAUGGGACGCUAAGGAGCAAUCCUUCGCAAAUCUCAAAAAGCCGUCUCAGUUCGGAUUGGGCUCUGCAACUCGAGCCCAUGAAGUUGGAAUCGCUAGUAAUCGUGGAUCAGCAUGCCACGGUGAAUACGUUCCCGGGCCUUGUACACACCGCCCGUCACACCAUGGGAGUUGGUUUUACCUGAAGGUAGUGCGCUAACCCGCAAGGGGGGCAGCUAACCACGGUAGGGUCAGCGACUGGGGUGAAGUCGUAACAAGGU
This 1445-nucleotide ribosomal RNA is filed under the name metagenome. Its description in RNAcentral is "bacterial SSU rRNA". It matches the Rfam family "Bacterial small subunit ribosomal RNA". The record is from RNAcentral.